CUGGGAUUACAGGCGUGAGCCACCGCGCCCGGCUGAAGAGGAGACUGGAAAGGUCUAUGCCAACUCCAGCAAGGUGUGGGUCCAGGAAUACAUCAGCAACUGGAAUUAAACCCCGGCAAGGUCUGGACCCAGCAAGAAAAGUGCUAGAGAUGUGAACAGAUUGGGCACAGGGACCCAAAACAGGCAAAAGUCUCUGCAACCUCAGAAACUGAUUCCAGAUCUGGGGGUCUAACUUCAUUUUAAAUGAAGAAGGUGCCAGAGGCUUACUGUUUGCUUAAACUCACAGAAGGCCCUAUGCAUCUUGUUUGCAGCUGAAUCUCCAGUGCUCUGCUCAUGGUAUGUAUUCAAUACAUAUUUACAGAAUAAAUGAAUGAGUAAAUGAAUAAAGAGUGUUAACUGAACAGAUGGAAGGGAUAAAGCAGAACAUGUGGUCUCCAAUUUUUAUUCAUUCAUUCUCUGUCCAUUAUAGGCUAGAAUGGGGAUAAUUCCCAAAGAUACGAAGAAAUCGAAGCCCAAGAUGGGUGGCUUCUCAGUCCCUUGACUUGGAUGAAGUCCUCUCUAUCAGCUGAGAAAACACAUGGUAGAGAUUGAUGAUCUUUGCAGAUUCUUGGGAGGCAGACAGGUUGUGGAAUAUUGAAGAUGAGAAAAUAGCACCCAGCUUUCCAAAAAAGGAGGGAGAAAGAAAAUAGACGAUAGACUCCAUCAACUUCAGAGUGGUCAGCUGCCUCUAGACUAGUCAAGAUUCUACAUAUACCUAUACAAUUCUUUUUUUUUUUUUUUUUU
Molecule: long non-coding RNA, 783 nt
Filed under: Homo sapiens (human)
Lineage: Eukaryota; Metazoa; Chordata; Mammalia; Primates; Hominidae
Description: HSALNT0389497
Source: RNAcentral